UACGUAGGGUGCGAGCGUUGUCCGGAAUUAUUGGGCGUAAAGGGCUCGUAGGCGGUCUGUUGCGUCGGUAGUGAAAACUCAGGGCUUAACCCUGAGCCUGCUUCCGAUACGGGCAGACUAGAGGUAUGCAGGGGAGAACGGAAUUCCUGGUGUAGCGGUGAAAUGCGCAGAUAUCAGGAGGAACACCGGUGGCGAAGGCGGGUCUCUGGGCAGUAACUGACGCUGAGGAGCGAAAGCGUGGGGAGCGAACAGG
This 253-nucleotide ribosomal RNA is filed under the name uncultured bacterium. RNAcentral describes it as "partial 16S ribosomal RNA". It matches the Rfam family "Bacterial small subunit ribosomal RNA", at positions 524 to 776 of the family's 1533-position model. The record is from RNAcentral.